Hordeum vulgare subsp. vulgare (domesticated barley) is the source of this 1305-nucleotide long non-coding RNA. RefSeq lists it as uncharacterized. The record is from RefSeq and is a predicted model, not a curated record. The transcript has 3 exons. Lineage: Eukaryota; Viridiplantae; Streptophyta; Magnoliopsida; Poales; Poaceae.
UUGAAUCGUUUUCCUUUUCUCUUCUCUAAUGGGUGGCUGAUGGCCUGAUACUUUGAUGGAUUGAUGCGUGCUUGAACUGGCUGAUAUGCGCCUCUGUGUAUGCAAAUUUUUCAAUUUAGAUUUUUGUAGAGACUGGUUCGGCUUGUAAUAGCAGAUGUAUGUUGGUAUGUAUUGAAAGCCUUUUCUAAUCCGUUCAUUGUAAUGCUUAAGCCUAAUACGAUAGUACUACUUGACCACUAAUUAAGCAUUUGCUUUGUCUAGCCUGGUGCAAAUUAAAUAAAUUGUACUGCCAUUCAUUAGUUUACUACUCAGUCCGGCGUGAACGUAGUAGUAAAGGUUGGUUCUGAGCAUAAUGCACACAAAACUGCCCUAUGUGUUCCUUCUCUAUUUUACAAUUCUGGCUAGAUAUAUUUGUCACUAACAUCUGGAAUAUUGUGUAUCCUCUUGCAUCAUUAUUGGUGUAGCUUUUAUAUUUCAUUGACGAGUUUAAGCCUGCUUAGUGAAGAUUAUGUAAAUGAUAGACUGUUCCCACAAGAUUAUUUUAAUAUCACAGUUAUAUCGCAUGCUUCAUUGUACAAGAUCCUUUUUUCACAUUUAAUUUUGUUACUGGCCGCUAGAAACAUGGGAUCUAUCAAGCAAGAAAAGGUGGAGAUGAGGAGGUUGUGGAUGAAGAUGCUCCUGUAGAGUGAAGAGUAUGAAGCAGAAGAUGCGGCCCAGGUUUAAUGAGGCAAUGGGGGAAGAGGUUGUGGCUGGGGUCAGUACCAUGGCUAGAGUCCGGACAUCGGCCAUCCAAUCAGCACCCCCCCAUCGACUCACAUUGAUAAGCAUCCAGUAGUGUCAAAGCCGCCUCCUGGUCUGCUUAUGCCGGAUGACACAAAAGGAUUUUCCAUGGGGCAAGGGAAACUCCAGGUUAUCCAGGGUAAAUGACUAGAUUACGUUUCAGGAUUACAACUCACAAAUGAGCUUGGAUGCCUUCAUCUUACAACCAGAAACUCUUGUUUUAUGAUCAUGCACACAUUGAAUGCAAAGUAAAGUUUUUUUACCAUCGACGUUAAGAUUCUUAAUAUGGAACCAUGACCAUUUUUUGUAAUAUAUGACUGAGCAUUAAUGGUACAAUCUUCUUUGCUCAAGUAAUUCAAGGUAUGUUUCAUUGCUCAUUUAGGAUGGCCACUGAACCUCUUUAUGAACCAAGGAAGACACAUUCUCUAUGCACAAAGAACUUAGUGCUACUAUUUGUUUGUGCUAUUUCAAUUGAAAACAUUGACGCUCCGUGACAUGCCACAAUUCGAUCUUUUGUGCUUGUAU